RNAcentral lists this ribosomal RNA (427 nucleotides) under uncultured bacterium. RNAcentral describes it as "bacterial SSU rRNA". It matches the Rfam family "Bacterial small subunit ribosomal RNA", at positions 355 to 774 of the family's 1533-position model. The record is from RNAcentral.
UGGGGAAUUUUGGACAAUGGGGGCAACCCUGAUCCAGCAAUGCCGCGUGUGUGAAGAAGGCCUUCGGGUUGUAAAGCACUUUUGUCAGGGAAGAAACGGUGAAGGCUAAUAUCCUUUGCUAAUGACGGUACCUGAAGAAUAAGGACCGGCUAACUACGUGCCAGCAGCCGCGGUAAUACGUAGGGUCCAAGCGUUAAUCGGAAUUACUGGGCGUAAAGCGUGCGCAGGCGGUUGUGUAAGUCAGAUGUGAAAUCCCCGGGCUUAACCUGGGAAUGGCAUUUGAGACUGCACGGCUAGAGUGUGUCAGAGGGGGGUAGAAUUCCACGUGUAGCAGUGGAAUGCGUAGAGAUGUGGAGGAAUACCGAUGGCGAAGGCAGCCCCCUGGGAUAACACUGACGCUCAUGCACGAAAGCGUGGGGAGCAAACA